UUGGAAGUCGAAUAGCAAAGCGUCUUCAUCAUUAAACGUAGGUGGAGAAAAUUUCAAGCAGAUAAACAACAGUGCUAUAAUUUCAAUAUAGCAAAAAGUAAAAAUUGAUAACCGGUUGUCUAGUGAUUUUUCCACAAAGGUUUAAAAAAAAAGAACGGUUUUUAAGGAGCAUCUUUGAAUCCCUUAUCCUUUUCUUUGUACUCCGUGACGCUUUGAGAUAACUUCUCUUGCUUUGUAAAAAACGACAAAAGCAUUCCUACUCCUGCAACUGGACAAUUUACAAUCCAAAUCAUACGAAUGGCAUUAGCAUAGGCAUUGAAUACAAAGUUCUUUUCGCUUACGUUGGGAAUUGAAGCAAUUUGAGAGUAUGAUAGCCCUGCAGAAUACUUCGUUCCUUUUAAAAGUGUCGUUAGUUGCUGAUCAUAGAUUACCGCUCCCAUCGAUAUUCCCACAGAUGCACCCAUAUUUCUUAGCAGCAUAAAUGCAGAACAGGAAGUCGCUAUCAAAGCAGGAGGUACAGAAGCUUGAACAGCAAUGAGAUUUGGUUGAAAUAGAUUUCCAGUUCCGACUGCUGUCAAAGCCAAGAAUCCCAUGGUACGUGAUAUGUCCGUGUUAUAAUAUAUCGCAAUCAUACUACCGGUACCAGCUAAUAAAACUAUCCAUCCUCCAAUCAUUGGAUAUCGAUAAUUUUUCAACUUUCCUAUUCCCAUACCACUAACAGCAGAAAGAAGUGAGGAUACAACCGCUAGAGAUAAUGUGUGAACGCCAGACAUCAAGGGCCCGUCACCUUUAAUGUUUUGGAAGUAUACUGGGAUGUAGUAAGUAAUUGUUGAGACAAUAUAAUAAUGUAAAAAGGAUGUUACCAUUACAGAUGUUAAAGAGAGCGUUUUAAAUGCCGAGGGAGUAAUAAUUCUAGUACGGGUAGUAUAGAAUUCAUUGACAACAAAACCGGCAAUGCACAGGAUACCAAAAAUUAAAUAGCACAAGACAUUGGCAUGGGCCCAAUGACCUGUUGUAGAUCCAAUAUUCAAACCAACUAAAAACAACACAACACCAGUCGUAAUGGUAAUAAUGCCCACAAAGUCAAAAUCACGUAAAAACACGCGAAACGAAACUGUAGGCUUGGGUACAAGAUUGAGGAAAAAAAUCAAAAGUGCGAGCGAAAGACCACCAGUAGGUAGAUUAAUGAAGAAAAUCCACCGCCAACUAGCCUUUUGCGAAAUUGCACCACCGAUUAAAGGACCCAUGACAGAAGCAAGGCCCCAGGUGACUCCCAUACAACCUGUGUAGUAAGGUCUAGUCUGUAAAGGAGUAAUGUCAGCUAUAACGAUUGUAACUAGAGAUGUAAUGCCUCCACCGCCGAUGCCCUGCACAGCACGGCAUAGUACAAGCCAAAGCAUAUUUUGGGCAGCACCACACAUGGCACUACCGAAGAGGAAAAGAACAAUGGAAGUAUAGAGGACAAUUUUCCUACCGACUACUUCACUCAUGAUACCACAAAAUGGAAGAAUUGAAGUUUGAGCCAAAGUAUAAGCAGUACCAAUCCACGAAUACGAUGAACCGCCAUCGAGAUUUGCUACAAUAGUGGGAAUAGCUGUAGUAAUGACAGUUUGGUCCAAGGCGGACAGGAAAAUCGACAACAUAAGUCCUGGAAUAACGAUGUACAUUCGAUUGGAGGGCAACACGAGGGUGAAAUCGGAAGAAUCAUCUUUCUCAGACGAUGCUUCAUGGGUUGAAAACCGAGACUUUAGAGAACUAGUACCAUAAAUUUGAUCUUGGGCUGAAAUAGAAAAGGCUUUUGAUUUUGCAGGCUUUAGCUCGUUCACCUCAUCAACGGUGGAAGAGAACCAUGUUACCUCAUUCCCUGUGCUAUAGAGAUUCAAUCCUCUAGUCGGAUUCAAGCUACGAUUUGGAGAAGACGAAGGGUUCAUAAUAUCUUGGAGCUGAGAGACAAAUGCAAUUGUAAAGAAAGGGGUUCACAAUUACAAAAUGCAAAACGAAAUGAAGUAAAAUUCAAAAAGAAAAUAGUAAGGAAUGCAAGAAAAAUU
Non-coding RNA from Schizosaccharomyces pombe (fission yeast), 2048 nucleotides. Lineage: Eukaryota; Fungi; Ascomycota; Schizosaccharomycetes; Schizosaccharomycetales; Schizosaccharomycetaceae. The record is from the annotation of a GenBank genome assembly.